This 443-nucleotide ribosomal RNA is filed under the name uncultured bacterium. Its description in RNAcentral is "partial 16S ribosomal RNA". It matches the Rfam family "Bacterial small subunit ribosomal RNA", at positions 338 to 795 of the family's 1533-position model. The record is from RNAcentral.
CCUACGGGAGACAGCAGUGGGGAAUAUUGGACAAUGGGGGGAACCCUGAUCCAGCGACGCCGCGUGAGUGAAGAAGUAUUUCGGUAUGUAAAGCUCUAUCAGCAGGGAAGAAAGAAAUGACGGUACCUGACUAAGAAGCCCCGUCUAACUACGUGCCAGAAGCCGCGGUAAUACGUAGGGGGCAAGCGUUAUCCGGAUUUACUGGGUGUAAAGGGAGCGUAGACGGCGAUGCAAGUCUGAAGUGAAAGGCGGGGGCACAACCCCCAGACUGCUUUGGAAACUGUAUGGCUGGAGUGCAGGAGAGGUAAGUGGAAUUCCUAGUGUAGCGGUGAAAUGCGUAGAUAUUAGGAGGAACCCCAGUGGCGAAGGCGGCUUACUAGACUGUAACUGACGUUGAGGCUCGAAAGCGUGGGGAGCAAACAGGAUUAGAUACCCCGGUAGUC